This 2255-nucleotide long non-coding RNA is filed under the name Bemisia tabaci. RNAcentral describes it as "lncRNA ENSASIAIIG008738". Lineage: Eukaryota; Metazoa; Arthropoda; Insecta; Hemiptera; Aleyrodidae. The record is from RNAcentral.
GCUGAUCUCUGGAGGGGGGAGGCAUCGAGAUGAGUGAGGAAUGAGAGUGCGUUUCGUCGGGAUCAUUCGGUCUGUGAGUGGAAGAAUAAAAGGUUGUGUCGUCAAAUCGCGUUUUGUUCAUCCUGCUCUCCCACUGACCUUAACAUGGUGCCGAAACCUCGGCGAAUCCUUGAGGCCUGAACCACCUGAUAUCGAGUUUCCAACCUCGUGGUACUCGUGAUGGACAUUUGAACGGCAACCUAGUUUCAGCUUCCGACCUCGUCAUGGACUUCUCACUGGUGGCCUAAAUCCGAAUCCCGACCUCAUGAUGGAAAUUUCAACGGCAGCCAAAUUCCACUUCUGAACCUCAGAAUGGGCAUGAUUUCAACUCGACUACCCACUACACUUCUGACCUUAACCAGAUUGACUUGUCAGCGUGUAAUCCCUUGUAGCAACGGAUCGUGAAUAUUCAUCCCUUUAGAUUGCCUGUUAAACAUCUACAGACUGACCGAAGGCAGAACAAUGGCCAGUGCUGAUGGUAUGGGGCUUCAAAUCACAAGAAAAUGUGCUCCAGCGUGUCAACAUCUGCCAGUCAGUCCAUCUCGCAGAUUUCGAGGAAAGAUGAGAAGAAAUCAAAGAAAUCGUCCCGGAAAUCUAAAUCAAGAAGGGCCAGCUCGAGCAGUAUCUCAUCCUCGUCUACUGCAAUUUCUCGUGAAUCUAGCUCUUCACCCUCCACAUUACAGUCAAGUCGGAAAAGAAAACAUCGUAGCAAAGGUAAAAAAUAUCUUUCAAAGAAAAGACCGUCAAGAAAGUACAACAGAUCCCGUUCCCGAAGCCGAUCAACAUCAACAGGGGCCCCAAGGAUGCUCUAGAGUAUCUUUACAGACAGAGUAUGGCCAUUUUGGUUCCGGUUUUUUAUUGGUCGCAAGCAAAUAGGCUGACACGAUGCUCUUACGGCCGUUAAUAAAGAAACAAGAUGGCUGUUAUCAGCAAGGAAGUUUGAGGUUAUGCAAAUCGUAUAUCCUCGUGUGAUAAAGGCAUAAGGCAAAGGCGAUUUAACAGUGUUUUUGUGUUAUUCGUGGAUAUGCUAGUUUUUCGAAGAGAGAGUCUAAGUUUAAUAAAUUCAUUUAAUUGUUUCAACGUAUUGUUUUCCAUUCCACUCAAAGUUACCUGCUAUUUUUUAUUACAUACUAUCUAACUGUUCCUUCAGUUUCAAUUUUUCCGUCCGACUCCCUUCUUUUUUUUAAAUAAACUAUUUCUUUAAUUUGUAUGUACAAAAUUCUGUCCUUUUUCUGUGCUUGCUUUUGAUUUCAUCUUCUCAACUUGGGGGGGGGGGUCCUACUCACCUGAAAGCUCAAAUAUAAACGCCAUCUAUGACUUCUGGAGAAAAAGGAACCCGAACACCGUUUAGGUCCCUCCCAGCCAUGGAAGGCCAGCCACAAGAAUGUGAGGAAGGACAGAACCGUGGCGCUAGGCGUCGCAGCCGGCCUGCUGUGCAGGCGACAGAGCAGCGACCCGCCCUGCGAUGGCAGAUAGGCCUAGCGCAGACCCGGUCCGCGUCUCAAGUAAGGCAAAUGCCAGGUGGGCUAGUCCUCUGCGAGGGAGCCCCCUUAGGUUAGAUAAGGAAACGACCUGUGGAAUAACCACCAGAAACGAUCGAUGAGGUCCCAAAAUCAGAACUUAAACCUGCCAAGGCAGUGUAUAAAAACUGGCCAGGACCAAACCAAAUAAAUUAAAAAGGAAGUCUAGUCAACUCCCCUUCCCCUAGUAUUGGAUAUUUUAGACUAGACUGCCGCUAAUGCGGCAACCCAACCCUGACAGCACGGUAAGAAAAGAAAAAGACCCAUGACUACCCCGGAAAAAGGACAUCAAUCAGUCUGAUGCCAAAGCAUCGGGCUAAAGGAGCUAAGGACGGGAGCACCCCGAGGGACAGCCCGUCCAAAAACCCCGACAUAUUUUCUUCCGGAAAACGUUCCCAUUAAGAGCCAAUCCACCCAACAAAGUAAAGUUAAAGAUACCUUCCCCCCACCCCCACCCAUACCAUCUAAAUGUAACCAAUCCUUAAUAAAAAUGUGUGUAAAGUGUAUCACACCAAAAACACUUCCGUGUAAAAAUGACCCGCCAAGCUAAAAAUAUAAAUAUUCGUCGCGUCAAAUGCAAUGAUAUCACAAGAAGUAGACGCCAAGCAAAUUUCCUGAAUAUAAAUUGUAAGUUUCUUCUCCCUUCAACAUUAUUACCGGAAAAACUAAAAUUAUAGACAAAAAAAAUAAUUUAAA